UCAAAGAAGAACAGUCGCAACGAGUCAUCUCUCAUUUCCAAUAGCUCCGGCGAGUCGCGCGAAGCGGCAGGCUCCGAGCAGCUGCUGCCUCCUCCGUUCCCCUCUCCUCUCCCCUUUUCGACUAACGAACUCGGCGCAGCCGCACCCCUCUCUCUCUUUAGCUGCUCCAUAGAAUGUGACUGAAACUGUCUUCGUCUACUCUCAUUUUCAUCUAACUCUGGCGAUUGCAAAGAGAGAAAGAGAUGGGUCUGCUCACUCACAAAGUAGAAAGGAGCGAGAUAGCAUCAGGUGACCAUAUCUACACUUGGAGAACAGUCUUCACCUACUCUCAUCACAGUUAGUCUCAGUCUGCAACCCCUUUUACACCAUUUCAAUUGUUCGUUGGUUUCAGCACACGACGAAUGGUUUGGAUAGCCCUCCUGUUUAAACUAGAACACAUUUUAAAUUUUAUUAAGUAAUUUUGUACAGUAGCAUCUGGGCUUUAGAUUAGAGAGAUGAUUGGGGAAAUACAAACAGACCUCAUUGUAAAUUGUGAAUGAAUUUGACAGAUGCACACAAUUGAAAUCCACAAAAAAGUUGGAGUGUUAUUCCUCUUUGUGGAUGUUGAAAGUGUAUUUCAAAACUAAAAGUUGUUACUACUAUUCUGGUCUUCCUAGCUGCAUCUUGUUUAGUUUCAAACUGUUCCACUCGUCUGGUCGCAUUGCUAAUCAGUGUUGGGCGUUGUGUUAUCAAAUUUCAGCUUGCUUAAAAUGCUACUGUUAGAAUUUUUUUAACUAUCCUUGUUAAUAUGUCUAAUGUGAUUGUAACGUCUAAUGUUAUUGUAAUAAGUUACAGACAAGUGUUAUCUCUUUUCUCUGUGAAUGUGAUUUAAUAUAUCUUUAUAGGUUUAAAUUUGCUAGUUUGAAUUCUCUAUAUUGGCUGAAUUGAUUCUAACUACAAUCUCCUCCAGUUAGUACUUAAUUAUUCCGUAACUCUUGAUUGUUUAACGAUUCUAGUAUAUCUCAUUUUAACGUCCAAAGUUCACGGGUCGGAAAACCAAAGUUUCAACUUCCAACCAAAAUCAAAAUUUGAAAAAGUUUAGGAGUAUCACUGAAACAAAAAAUACAACUCAAGCUCAACUCCAACUUAGAAUAGCUUCAGUGAGAAUGACUAGGAAAUUUAGUGAAUGGCUAGGAGAAACCUAUUUUGAAUUAUCAAGAAAAAGAAAAUGAAAAAACAACACAAACUUGUUUACUAAUUGUCAACUGUUAAUAAUGACUGAAAUCUCUCUAUAAUGACCACUAAAGAAAUUAUAAAUUGUUUCUUUUCAUGCUAGGCAAUUGAGGAAGCUCAACAUCUAAAAAAGUUGAUACAAGACUAAGCGUGGCAACGGGAC
Molecule: long non-coding RNA, 1375 nt
Filed under: Solanum tuberosum (potato)
Lineage: Eukaryota; Viridiplantae; Streptophyta; Magnoliopsida; Solanales; Solanaceae
Description: long non-coding RNA (STUB_LNC001629)
Source: RNAcentral